Molecule: ribosomal RNA, 493 nt
Filed under: uncultured bacterium
Lineage: Bacteria
Description: partial 16S ribosomal RNA
Rfam family: Bacterial small subunit ribosomal RNA
Source: RNAcentral
AUUGAACGCUGGCGGCAUGCUUUACACAUGCAAGUCGAACGGUAACAGGUUAAGCUGACGAGUGGCGAACGGGUGAGUAAUGCAUCGGAACGUGCCCGGUCGUGGGGGAUAACGCAGCGAAAGCUGCGCUAAUACCGCAUACGAUCUGAGGAUGAAAGCGGGGGACCGUAAGGCCUCGCGCGAUCGGAGCGGCCGAUGUCAGAUUAGGUAGUUGGUGAGGUAAAGGCUCACCAAGCCAACGAUCUGUAGCUGGUCUGAGAGGACGACCAGCCACACUGGGACUGAGACACGGCCCAGACUCCUACGGGAGGCAGCAGUGGGGAAUUUUGGACAAUGGGCGAAAGCCUGAUCCAGCAAUGCCGCGUGCAGGAAGAAGGCCUUCGGGUUGUAAACUGCUUUUGUACGGAGCGAAAAGGCUCUCUCUAAUACAGGGGGCUCAUGACGGUACCGUAAGAAUAAGCACCGGCUAACUACGUGCCAGGAGCCGCCGUAA